AACGUAGGAGACAAACGUUAUCCGGAGUUACUGGGCGUAAAGGGCGUGCAGGUGGUCUGUUAAGUCUGGCGUGAAAGCUCCUGGCUAAACCGGGAGAGGUCGUUGGAUACUGGCGGACUAGAGGACGGUAGAGGCGUGUGGAAUUCCGGGUGUAGUGGUGAAAUGCGUAGAGAUCCGGAGGAACACCGGUGGCGAAGGCGGCCUGCUGGGCUGUUGCUGACGCUGAGGCGCGACAGCGUGGGGAGCAAACAGG
RNAcentral lists this ribosomal RNA (253 nucleotides) under uncultured bacterium. RNAcentral describes it as "partial 16S ribosomal RNA". It matches the Rfam family "Bacterial small subunit ribosomal RNA", at positions 524 to 776 of the family's 1533-position model. The record is from RNAcentral.